Phalacrocorax carbo (great cormorant) is the source of this 4271-nucleotide non-coding RNA. The record is from RefSeq and is a predicted model, not a curated record. NCBI's taxonomy places the organism in Eukaryota, Metazoa, Chordata, Aves, Suliformes, Phalacrocoracidae.
GCCGGCCGCAGGAAGGGCGGGAUAGACGCGCGGGUAUCCCCCCUCACCCCCCGCACGAAUACAGCAGUGAACCCACUCCCAGAAAAUGAACAAACCCAGAGCUGGACUUUUUGCCUGCUGGGAGAAAUAUCAUCUGGAAUAGUAGCUGGUGAGAAGUUUAUACUUGGAGUUUUCGAAGGGCCUUAUCCGACUCUGAAGUCAGCAGAAACAGGAAUAGGCCACGGACUUUCAGAAUAAAAGAUGAACACACAUUGGUGAAUCCAUGGCAGGCUUCAGUGGGAUGAGAACUGCAUGGGGCCUCUCAGAGAACUCAAGGAUUUGGUGAGCUUUAUACACUUCUACAUUGAAGCUAUUGUGUGAUUCACAGCUUGGACAAUGGGAUAGCCUCAUUAUCCAGUGGCUCAUAGUUUUUGAUUCCCAGCCUGCAAAUAUUCGAUGCUCAGAGUAUCUAUGAAAUUAAGGACUAAGACCUGGAAAUAUGAAGAUAAUACAUGUUUGGAGCAACCCUUCUUUUAUUAGUGUCAUAAAGUGUUUGACUUCAGUCACAGAAAGGUUCGGGGCCACACUUGACUCAUAUUUUAAAAUGGCAGUUUUUAUAAAUAUUGACUCCAUACUAAUAGAAAGCACUUUUACUGUUCAGUGUGGAUGCUGCCUUGUAUCUGAGAAUUUGACCUCCCUGUUGAGCUAAACUCAGCUUUCUCUAAUUAUCCCACUGCCAGCCCAGGGAUUACUGGCAUGAGUAAUCUAAGCAGGACUUGGCCUACUAAAUGAAAAAUGUCAAAGGCAGCAAGAGGGAAGGGAGUCACAAGGAAGCUCUGCAAAGUUCUUAGAGUCACUUGGUGACAUCACCAACGAAUCCAAACCGUGAUCAAAGCAACCGCCAGCACUGGGGAACAACAGACUCACAGAGGAAGGAAACAAGUCAGAGGCAAUCUCAGCUUGAAAAUGAUUGUAGUUUUGUUAUCAGUUUCAAGCUAAUAAUAGCAAUACUUCUGGCAUCAGAAUUUCCCUGGCUUUCCUAAGAAUAACUACUGCAUAAAGAUGAGACUUAAGAGGCAGCUUACACUUACGAACUGGCAUAAGAUGCUGAAGUUCCCGUCUGCAGCACGUUGACCCUGCCACAGAGCGAUUUCACCUCAAGACUGACCAUGCAGCAGGCUGAUGGGUCAGCACUGGCUCUCCUGCAAUCACUGGUGGAUGACGUGAGAAAUGGCCUGUCAUUCCCUGCAGGGAUUCCAAAGGUCACGGGAGAACACCCAGUGAAAGGACCUGGCACUCCUGCUUGCUGAGGAGGGAAAACACCACUCCUCAGUGUUGUCCCACCUGCCGAGUCCCUUAACGUCAAAGGGCAUUACACAAGAGGAAAGAGAGGAUGGACGUGAGGUGAAGGCAGGUACACAUAAACAACAUACCUCAAAGAGUUUCAUUUUCUGGAGGCAGAAGAAGAAAAACCAGUUAACGCACCAAAUGCAGAGAAUCAACUUUCUGGAAGGAGGAUGGCGCUGUUGAGGUAAGCACUUCUUUUCUGUUGGGGACAAGAGAUAGACCCCACUUGCCUGACAAAAGUGUCACUGUCACCGAUUAUCUAGCACAAAAUCCUCCUAGAUGUUAGUAGCAGGAGGUGAAUGACAGCAUGCUGUAAUUGCCAAUACACUUCCUCAGAUUGUCCUUCCACAGAUUUUGGACGAUGCAGGCAUAAAUAACUAAUUUUCUAUUCACCUCCAUGAACAGAAGUGAGGCAGAGUAAACAAUCAUGUGGACUGUCCCCUGCCGGGUGACAAGCUCUCAGUUUCUUUUUCCUUUUUAAGUGGCUGUUCACUGAACUUUUUCUGGCAUUUCAGAGGUCACAUAGGUUGCAGGGAAUAAUAAAGCCAUUGAUAAGAAAGAAGUUUGUGUCCUCAAUCUCCCAACACCAUGAGACUGAAGAAGAAACGGAGCUAUGCCUCUCCAAUUUGCUUUUUUGGGAGGGUUUUUAUUUUAGGCUUCUGUUCUGAAGAACCAUUUUGAAGUCUGGAUAAAAAUAAUCCCUAAAACUAUUUACUCUUCUUGAUAUCAUAUGAAUAAGGUAAAGUUCUUCACUAGAGUAUACCCCGUGACAAAUAAUGCCCUAGUAAUUUUGGGUGGGGAUUUUCAUGCGGUGACUGAUGAUGCCUUGGAGAAGAGCCAUGGCGCUGUGCAUUCAGAAGCUAAGCUAUCUAAAUCCUUGCAGACCUCAUUUAUGCUUUUGGGAAUAUAGGACAGGUGUGGCAGUUACUAAACCUGGAUACUUGAGAAUUCACCUCUUAUUCCCAGGUGUGAGCCAUUAAUUCUCGCUCAGACUUGUUCAGUUCUAACAAGUCUCUUUUGAAGCAGAUUUUAUAUGUGCACAUAUACACACACAACACACAGCAUUUUCCUUUCAAGCCAUUUAUCUACUUUGUUUUUACUCAUCAUUAGCUAUGCAGCCUUACCUGACCUAACAUUUUACAUAGACAUGGCAGCAAACCCCAGUAUUGAUCAGUGACAGUCUACAAAUCCCUGUCACAUUCUGUAGAUACCAGAAGACUUGCAGUUUGCAUUGUUUACUACAAUUACCGAAGAAGUUCAGGUAAAACUCAAGCCAAGCCCCAGUGAAAUUUACAACAAUGGCUAUUCCAAUUUUAAUUGGAUCACUAGACAUCAGAGCGAAGCCAGAGAACACUCAAAUACAAACAUAAGUUGUUAAAAACUGUAAAAUCCUGUAAAAAACUGUAAAGAAAGGUGGUGCUCCUUCUUUUUGUUAGAUACUCUUCCAGAAAUCUGAACACUUUGAGGUAUUGUGACACACUUGGAGCUUCCUCCCAGACCAGGCAUUCUUCAGGGACACACUUGAUGUUUUCAAACUCAAAUACCUACAAUAAAACUUCUAAUUCCAUAUUCUGAUGUUUCUAUAGAAGGUCACUGAUAGUAACCCCAGCUGCUUCGCUUGCAUCAAAGGGACUUGUGGCUACUGAACACUAAUGAAUAUCUGGUCAUCUUUAUUUACUUAAAAUACAUUGGCCACCUUCUAGGCAGUCCUCUGGAAUGCUGUGAAGAGAGGGAUGCUGUAGUUAUAUGUUAAAUUUAAACAAACCACACAUUUUUGUGACAGUAUUUUUAUGUGCAGAGAACUGUCACAAGACAACAAAGGAUUACUCGGGGUAAUGAGAUGGCCUUCUACUUCCAAAAAUCUCAAGAGGCCACUGCCGUAGUGGUACCCAUCUCAGAUCAAAGUACCAUCCUGUGAAAUGAAACGUCAGUAUUGGAGAACCUGAGCGGGUUUGGCUUGAAGCACAAAUUCCUGACAGCAUGAGGAAUAAGCAUAGGCUGGGCAAGAGUUUCACUAAAAAAUAAAUUUAUCAUCAAGUAUUUUGCAGCUAUGAAAGAGAAGCAUCUGAUAUGUGGCUGUUAAAGAAUCCAGCCUACUAACCAGAAUAACAUACGAAAAAGUGAAACUUGCGAAAAUGGGCACAGCUUCACCUAUGGAGCUGGCUAAUUCUAAAAAUGCUAGCUAAAAGUUUCUGAUUAAAAAGUUUAUCUUCCUGAUAAAGGCAUGAAAUGAAAAUACAGCAGUUAAGGAAUUAAAUCUCAGGACAAAACUAAUGCAGAUUCUACCUAGGUGAAACCAGUCCCUCAGGCAUGAAGUGUCAAUCCCCCACUUAAAACUGUAGAGGAAGUGGGAACAGCUGUACCUGGAGAGAAGUGUGGCUACAAAAGUGACAGCCUGGGUUUCUAGUAAAAGCUAUCAUCAAUAUAUUAGUUUUCUCAGAUACUGUAAGAUUUCUGUGUUAGCCUGAUUAAUUUUGCUAUCACCCAAUAGCCUGCUGAAGAUGUAGGGGAAGGAGCAUCUUUCCCCUCAAUUUUUCCCCAUACUCCUCCAUUUGAGAAACAUUCCCUUUAUUCUGCCCAUGUCAUUGAGUAAUCUCUUUUCAGAAACCAGUAUGAGUAACUCUAGAUAUCUGGAUAACUAAUAUUUUGAUAACUGCAAAUAAGGGAAGUAGUACUGGAAGAUGCAGGACUAGAACUGGAAAUACUUAGUGGCAAGACGACUUCGCUGCAUGGAGAAAAAGAACAAAGGCAUUGGAUUUUUCCUGUAAAUGAACUCCAGGCAGUGUUACAAUAAAAUGGAUGUUUGCUAUUAGAACAGAAUGGCUCCUUUCUUUACUUAGUAUUUUCUAGAACAAAAGCGCUGCAACUUUCCAAGGCUAUAGUGAGUCAGUGCUAGAAUUAGAAGUACAAUCCUGAAAUAGCGGUCACCACUAAGCAAUGUUUCC